This 460-nucleotide ribosomal RNA is filed under the name uncultured bacterium. RNAcentral describes it as "bacterial SSU rRNA". It matches the Rfam family "Bacterial small subunit ribosomal RNA", at positions 28 to 507 of the family's 1533-position model. The record is from RNAcentral.
GAUGAACGCUAGCUACAGGCUUAACACAUGCUCUUCCAGGAUGGACGACCGGCGCACGGGUGAGUAACGCGUAUCCAACCUGGCCCAUACCACGGGAUAGCCCGUCGAAAGGCGGAUUAAUACCGUAUGCUGUCAUUAAGAUGCAUAUAUUGAUGACGAAAGGACUGGCGGUAUGGGAUGGGGAUGCGUCUGAUUAGCUUGUUGGCGGGUAACGGCCCACCAAGGCGACGAUCAGUAGGGGUUCUGAGAGGAAGGUCCCCCACAUUGGAACUGAGACACGGUCCAAACUCCUACGGGAGGCAGCAGUGAGGAAUAUUGGUCAAUGGGCGCAAGCCUGAACCAGCCAAGUAGCGUGAGGGAAGACUGCCCUACGGGUUGUAAACCUCUUUGUUUGGGAAUAAAGUGCGGGACGUGUCCCGCAUUGCAUGUACCAUUUGAAUAAGGACCGGCUAAUUCCGUG